GUAGGUGGCAAGCGUUGUCCGGAAUUAUUGGGCGUAAAGCGCGCGCAGGCGGUUCUUUAAGUCUGAUGUGAAAGCCCACGGCUCAACCGUGGAGGGUCAUUGGAAACUGGAGAACUUGAGUACAGAAGAGGGAAGCGGAAUUCCACGUGUAGCGGUGAAAUGCGUAGAGAUGUGGAGGAACACCAGUGGCGAAGGCGGCUUUCUGGUCUGUAACUGACGCUGAGGCGCGAAAGCGUGGGGGAGCAAACGGGAUUAGAUACCCUGGUAGUCCACGCCGUAAACGAUGAGUGCUAAGUGUUAGGGGGUUUCCGCCCCCCUUAGUGCUGCAGCUAACGCAUUAAGCACUCCGCCUGGGAGUACGGCCGCAAGGCUG
Molecule: ribosomal RNA, 373 nt
Filed under: uncultured organism
Description: partial 16S ribosomal RNA
Rfam family: Bacterial small subunit ribosomal RNA
Source: RNAcentral